AAUGUCUUUUCUAGUUCG
RNAcentral lists this small nuclear RNA (18 nucleotides) under Arabidopsis thaliana (thale cress). RNAcentral describes it as "snRNA_19115". The record is from RNAcentral. Lineage: Eukaryota; Viridiplantae; Streptophyta; Magnoliopsida; Brassicales; Brassicaceae.